This 488-nucleotide ribosomal RNA is filed under the name uncultured bacterium. RNAcentral describes it as "partial 16S ribosomal RNA". It matches the Rfam family "Bacterial small subunit ribosomal RNA", at positions 899 to 1397 of the family's 1533-position model. The record is from RNAcentral.
ACUCAAAUGAAUUGACGGGAGCCCGCACAAGCGGUGGAGCAUGUGGUUUAAUUCGACGAUAAGCGAGAAACCUUACCAGGUCUAGACAUUCAGCUGCGCGCCCUAAGAAACUAGGGAAGCCUUCGAGGGUGCUGAACAGGUGCUGCAUGGCUGUCGUCAGCUCGUGUCGUGAGAUGUUGGGUUAAGUCCUCUAACGAGCGCAACCCCUGUCGAGUGUUACAUAUUCGCUCGAGACUGCCGGCGAUAAGCCGGAGGAAGGAAGGGAUGACGUCAAGUCAGCAUGGUCCUCUGACGACCUGGGCCACACACGUGCUACAAUGGGGUGCAACAAUGGGUUGCCAAACCGCGAGGUGGAGCCAAUCCCACCAAACCACCCCUCAGUUCGGAUUGAAGGCUGCAACUCGCCUUCAUGAAGCUGGAAUCGCUAGUAACCGCAGAUCAUCUACGCUGCGGUGAAUACGUUCUCGGGCUUUGUACACACCGCCCGU